RNAcentral lists this long non-coding RNA (2644 nucleotides) under Sus scrofa (pig). RNAcentral describes it as "lncRNA (ENSSSCG00040047742.1)". The record is from RNAcentral. Lineage: Eukaryota; Metazoa; Chordata; Mammalia; Artiodactyla; Suidae.
UGUGGUGGACCCAGAGAACAUGACAGAACAUCUGCUUCAGGGAACUUCUGGUCUAGGUGGUUAAGUAAAAACCAAGAUAAUAAUUCUUGGAUUGGUGCCUGCCAAGUGCUUUGCACAAAGAAUCUCAUUUAAUUUCCUCAGCUGUGGAAGCCAGGUAGCAUCAUCAGACCCAUUUCCCAGAAGAGGAGCCUGAGACUUAAAAGGCUAAAUAACUUCUAUUAGGAGUGUAGCAAAUAAGUGGUAAGCCUAGGAUUCGAGAUGAUAUUUAAUAAAUAUUUAGGUAACACUAUAUGUUUCACAGAGAGUAACUCCUUUGUUUAAUCUUCGUAACUACAGUAUGAGAAGAUACCAGUAUUAUUUCCCCUUUAUUUAGGGAAAGAGACAGAGACUCGGGCAUUUGCCUGAGGUCACACAGUUAGGGAAUGGUACAGAACUGGUGUUUGAAGCCAGGCAGUCUGGUUCCCAACCCUUUCUGGUAACCCUUUGCUUCUUAAGUCCAGCUAGAUCCAUCAGGGCCCUGAUAGUUACCACUGCACUGAAUGGCUUCUCCAUCCGUGUGCUCUCUUCUAAAGACAAACUAAUAGAGCAUCAGUGACACCAAGAGAGCUGCUAAUUCAACUGAAUGUAUACAGAUUUUGACUUUUUGUGCUCACUCACCCUACUUAACACACCAACACACCAUUCUUUCAGCUGUCGACUAACCUGCACACUUUGCCAUUUGCUUCCUGUGCCUUUAUUGAAAUGUUAACAUUCAUUUGUCCUUUUCCAUUGUGUUAAAGAUAGCCUUUGCUUCCUGUCACAUCUAGAUAAUCUUCAUUCAGGGACAGAUACCAAACAGAUUCAUCACAAUAUAAAGUAAAUAAUGGGGACUCUAAUCCAUUCCACCGACAUAUUUUAAAUGGUAAUUUGAAUAUCUGUUUUGUACUUACUUCUUAUAUGUAAUGUAAUGAUAAUAACUCUGAAUACUGCAGUAGCCAAAAGGUUUCAGUCUGAAUUAGUCAUACUAAGUGGCUGUGACCCUCCUUAAGAGUCAAACAGAUUCUGUUGGGAGGUGGUUUUUUUGGUUGGUUGGUUGGUUUGUGCUUUAAAGAGUUGUGACUACAUUAUGAAGAGGGGUUCCUGGUUGGGAUUUGGAAGGCCGUACGUAGUUCAUUGAUUUGGGGGAUGGCAUAAAAAGGCUUUCUGACUGUGUACUUGCACACUGCAUCUUUUGAGAAUGGAGUGGCUUCUUGCUCAAGUGGGAGGAAUAUUGGACUGAAAAUUAGAUCUCCAUUCAAGUCUCAUUUUUGUCACUGAUGUAUUAUGUGACCUUAAGCAAGUCUCUUAUUUUCUCAGAAGCUCAGCUGCUUUAUAUGCUUAAAGGGUUGCAGUGCAUCAGCACUGCAUCCUUAUUCUGACAUAAAUAAAGGAUAACACUGGGGUGGCACUUAACACAUAUCUUCAAAGCAAACCUAUGAAGUGUAGGUUUUUGUUCAUAUGUUACAGCAGAGAAAACUGAUCCUUAGGUUAAUUAAUAGGCUCAAAUUCAGACACAGCUGGUAAGUGAGGUAGAGCCAGGACCCACAUUUAGGACUGUCCACUUGGGAGAGCUGUACCCUUAACCACUCCGGUGCCCCUUCCAGUGCCAUGGAGCUCUGCACUUUAAUGAUUGAACUCAUUGUCCCUUUUGACCUCAUGCAUCUUCUCGUUGCUGCUGCUUCCCUUUUAUCUCCUAAAAAUGUCAGUCCAUUGCAACCAAGUGACUGAAGGGAGAAAGGGCAGGAGAAAGAUUUCCCUUAGAAAUGCUUCUUACAACAAGUAAUUAUAUACCUAGAGGAUCUACAAAAAACAAAACACUCCAAAAUGUUAGUAUUUAUUUGUGGAUGGCAGGAUUGCAGAAUUCCUCAUUUCUCUUCUCUUUUAGAAAUUUGUUUACUUUUGUCAAAAUAAAUAUUCAUUGUUUGUGUACUAAAAAUUAAUAUAUGAACAUAUACAUCCCUAUAGCAAGCAAAUCACAAAUCACCAAGCAAACUUGGGCUGGCUAACAUCCCUGACAUUAUUUUACUUUGUGGCAAAUUCCUAAGCUAGGCUAAUUUCCCAGGCAAUGGUGGCAUCUAAAAAUACAUGUCCCUUUGUUAAUAUUCCUAACGUUGUACAUUAUCAAUUAUAAACAUUUAUGAAAUGUAUCCUCCUUUAUUUAUUCUUAUUUUGUAUUCUAUUCAGGAUGCCUAGACCUCUUCUCCUCACUCCUGGAUUAUUUACAGUUUCUCAAAUGUCCUUCCUCUUUCUCAUGAUGAUUAACCAUAGACACAAUGCCACCAGACUGCUUUCUCUAAGACACAUCAGGUGGGAAAAAUGCAGUUUUGAGUACAUACAGUAAUUUUUUCCAUUAUCUAUAGAGACUUUCCAAAAUAGUUACAAAAUGAUCUGUUCAUAAUCUGGCUCUCUUACUUUCAUUUCCCUGGACUCUUGCCUUUCUUCCCCAUGUUCAUGCUUUGCUUAGACUCUGGUCUUGUGCUUUGAUUCUUAAUAUUUUUUUCUGAUCCAUGACAGUCUUUUUCUUCUCUUCUGAUUAUCUUCUUUCUAGUGAGAUCUCGUCUUAAAGUCUUCUCCAAUUACUCAUUCUUUUAAAUUUUUCUUUAGUAAUGCAAAUACUUAGAACCUA